Molecule: long non-coding RNA, 355 nt
Filed under: Mytilus galloprovincialis (Mediterranean mussel)
Lineage: Eukaryota; Metazoa; Mollusca; Bivalvia; Mytilida; Mytilidae
Source: RNAcentral
UCAUUAGACUAGGAAUUAUCACGAUCUAUUAUAAAUUGAUUUUUUUAUCACGUCGUUUACCAUGUCACAAGAAACGAUAUUAGGAUAUGUUUUUUUAGUUGUUAGUUGCUAAAGUCAGAUGAGAAGCCAUCACUCCACUAGGUUCAAUUUCAGAUGAAACACGUCCACGGGUCUGCGUUUCAUCAUCCUCCCCGCUUGCCUUAGCCGAUGACGUUGAUUUAUUUUUACAAACAAAAGUUAUUGAAACACUAUUAUGUGUUUGAACUAUCUUGUUUACCUAAACUAAAUUAUCCUAAAUGAAAGACCAGGCAUACUGCUUCGAAAAUGACUGGAUAUUAUCCUCAUAUCCUCAGCC